CAAUAGCGUAUAUUAAAGUUGUUGCAGUUAAAAAGCUCGUAGUUGGAUUUCUGGUAGGAGCGACCGUGCCGAACUUGAUUGUUCGAGUAUUGUGUUGUCUUCAGCCAUCCUCGUGGAGAACUUUUCUAACAUUAACUUGUUGGGAUUGGGACCCGCGUCGUUUACUGUGAAAAAAUUAGAGUGUUUAAAGCAGGCAUUAGCUUGAAUACAUUAGCAUGGAAUAAUAAGAUAGGACUUUGGUACUAUUUUGUUGGUUCGCAUACCAAAUUAAUGAUCAACAGGAACAGUUUGAGGAUAUUCGUAUGAACAUGUCAGAGGUGAAAUUCUUGGAUUUUGAUCAGACGAACUACUGCGAAAGCAUUUAUCAAGGAUGUUUUCAUUAA
RNAcentral lists this ribosomal RNA (383 nucleotides) under uncultured eukaryote. Its description in RNAcentral is "partial 18S ribosomal RNA". It matches the Rfam family "Eukaryotic small subunit ribosomal RNA", at positions 592 to 976 of the family's 1831-position model. The record is from RNAcentral.